Molecule: ribosomal RNA, 365 nt
Filed under: uncultured eukaryote
Lineage: Eukaryota
Description: partial 18S ribosomal RNA
Rfam family: Eukaryotic small subunit ribosomal RNA
Source: RNAcentral
CAAUAGCGUAUAUUUAAGUUGUUGCAGUUAAAAAGCUCGUAGUCGGAUUUUGGCUGAGAACGAUCGGUCCGCCGUUAGGUGUGCACUGAUUGGUCUCAGCUUCCUGGUGAGGAGGUGUGCUUCACGGCCACUUAGUCACCGUGGUUACUUUGAAAAAAUUAGAGUGUUCAAAGCGGGCUUACGCUUGAAUAUAUUAGCAUGGAAUAACACCAUAGGACUCCUGUCCUAUUUCGUUGGUCUCGGGACGGGAGUAAUGAUUAAGAGGAACAGUUGGGGGCAUUCGUAUUUCAUUGUCAGAGGUGAAAUUCUUGGAUUUAUGAAAGACGAACUUCUGCGAAAGCAUUUGUCAAGGAUGUUUUCAUUGA